UGUCGGGUUUGCUGAAAACUUCAACAGAGAAUCUGAAUCAAGCUGGUUAAAGGGAGACUCUGAACAGAACCUGGACCGGCUAGCUCCACAGCAUCCGUUACCAUGGAGAUCUACAUCCACAGCAUCUGUUACCAUGGAGAUCUACAUCCACAGCAUCCGUUACCAUUGAGAUAUAUCUUGUGUCUCUUUGUAGUCAUUUUGUGUCUCCUUGUGGUAAUCACAUGAUACGUCACAUUCACACACUGAUGGUGGAUGCUGCCAUGCAAGGCGCUAACCACAACCCACCAGGAGCAAUUAGGGGUUCGGUGUCUUACUCAGGGACACCUCGACAUGAGCUCGACGGAGCCGAGGAUCGAACUGGAAACCCUCCGGUUGCAAGACGGCCACUCUACCCACUGAGCCAUGCCGCAAGGUGUGUAUUUUUUCAAAACCUGAGCUUUUUUAGAAAUGCUGCUCCCAUUAAACUCCAUCAUCACCUUUUGAACCACUUCUGUUGAGGAGGAUAGUCCACGUUUAGGGCAUACAGGAGUCCAAAGACGAGGGCAAUGGCCAACGGAACAUCAUUCUUGGACGACUACUUGGCCUUCCAAGAUGAUUCCGAUGUCAUCUGGUUUGGACUGGGCCUCAUGUUAUUUUGCAGUGAACAUUCCUACAGUGGUGUCUUCUGCGUAGUCGAAGACAGCUUCCCUGCUUCCAUACAAUGAGAUAAAAAGUCAAUACACUAUAAUGGAUACACUUCUGGACACCACAGAUGAAAAAGUGGAAGUGAUGCAUAGUAUGGUACAUAGUAACAGCUGGAACAAGUGUGACAAACGGGCCGUGUAAAUAAAUCUCUAAGGAAUCUUCACAAGUUUAUGGAAUCCAAAGAGAGGCAAAAGAAAAAUCUGUACAACUAACUGGCUCUCAAAUAUUUUAUUGCUGACACCACAGAGUAAUGUUUUCGACCUUUGUUGUUCAUUGUAUGGCAGAUUGAGAGGCAUCUGGCUGCAGACCUCCACUGUGAGGUCGCUUCCGGUGCAGACCUCCACUGUCAGGACGCCUCCACUGUCAGGACGGGAAGUAACCAUAAGCGUCCGGUAGGUGGCCGUAACGCACCUGAAGUUGGUUUACUAACCGCUAAAUAAAUCAAAAGAAGAAGCCAUUUCACGCGAGUGAUCGUCUGUAUCGUUUGGCGUUUACGGUGAGUUCUUGAUUUUUAUUAUCCACAGAAAGUGUAAAUUACGGUGGCUGACAGGGUAAAAUGACGUGCAUAUACACAAACGAGCUGCAAAUACAUUAAUGCGCUGCCUAAAUGAAAAGAAAUACAAAAAGAAAACGCUGCAUAUCCAGUCACACAGUGGAAGUAGUAGUGACAGUAGUGAGCUUUUCACCUGAGAGGCAGACAAUGGUGAGUGAGACAAGUAACGUUAGUUGAGGGAAAAGCUGUAUGAAAAGGUUUGUCUUCUCUCAUCUCCAUGGAUAAACAUAAAUAACAGAGAGAACACAGGGAGAUGGUAGUAAAACACCACUUCAGCACCCAUAUAAUCACAGUGACUGAAAAGCUAAGGACUUAAAAACUAAUAAACAUUUAGGGAAACUAGAUGUCCACUGUCUCUGACAUAACCUAACAUAACUUUUUAUGUGUGCGAGUGUGAGUGUGUGUGUGUGUGUGUGUGUGGGGGGGGGGGGGGGUUGCAAACUCAUGUAGGAGUAAUUAAUGAUGCAGUUAUUGGAUAUAGGUCACUUUUAUAAGUAGAUGUAAACAGGCGGUACAAAAAAAAUCAGGUGUAUACAGCCAUGGCCAUAAGUUUGGACACAACAUGACUUAUGUCUGUUUUGAUGUCUAUUACAGAACAUAACUAAUAUUUUUUGACAGCACCAGUUUAAUUAGUCAACAAAUCAACAAGGGAUAUAAUAUUAUCAAUAAAUUCCAACAACUGGAACAACUUUGUUCCCUAAACAUAAUAUUAAAGAAAAUAACAAAAAAAUGCAGUACUUUCACAACCGAAUUUAGUAAGAAUAACAAAAUGACACCAAACUCUUUUGAUGUUUUUUUAAAUAUGAAACUUAAUAUAGUUCUCAGGAGUUGUGUAUUAUCACCCAAACACUUCAGUAUUUUGUGGUAUUUUCUAAGAUUCACAUGCGUCAUGGUACUUGUGUCCAAACUUAUGGCCAUGGCUGUACAUCAAGUCAGUAUUAGGCAGAAAGACCUGCAGUGUAAAUGAGACCUAGAAAUGUAUGUAGAAAUUAAGUUUUUUCACUUUUUAACUGUAAGCAAAGAUAAAUUUAUUUGAAAUAAAGUUCAUGUACUGUAAUUCAAACACAUAACACAAUUUUAUAUCCUUUUCAGAUGCACCAUUCAAUGUUGAAGUCAGUCAGAAAGCCUGCAGUAGAACGCUGUACAACAUGCUGCAGUUUGUUCCACUGCCCCCUUUGCCCCAAAGACAUGUUUAAACCAAGCAUCCCGUCGAAGCUUCAGCGACAUUUGGAGGUCCACCUAAAAAUGCCGUUACAUUUGAAGAUAAGAAGAUCUGGACAGAUACAUCAAAAGCCCUCCUGCGAGGUGAGGUGUCACCAGUGUUUAGGCUGAAGAAAAGAAGGGUGGAUGACAUUACUCCGGAAGAAGAGCAGCAAGCUGAGGUUUCAGUCAGACCUGCUGAUGUGAGCACACCAGUGGAAGGGGACUCGGUUGAAGUGCGUAUUCUGCAUGAUUGCAGACAUGCAGCAGAGUGGGUUGAGGCCAAUAAGACACUCUUCUCUGCCAGAGUGGACCUGCCUGAUGUUCUACACAUGGGGGAGGAGGAACAGGCUGAGGCUGCUCUGCAGGAUAAAAGACAUGGAUGAGCAGGAAAGGGAAGAAAUCCUGGAGGUCUUCAAAUUCACAUUCUACAACACUGAGGACAUGUGGACAUUUUGUGACAUAGUAGUGGACGAAAACAAUUAUUUGGCAUAUUGUGAAUGUCACAAAGAUGAAUAAUUGAAGGAUAACAGAACAUUUGAUCAUGUUGUGACUUUGUGUGUUCAUGUUUUGUUUUCUCAUUGAGCACUUAAUAAUUCAUUUGAACUACACUGUAGAUCUCAAGAGUUUGGGUAGAAGUUGGUGGUAUUUUGGUGCUCCAGCAGCACAAGAACAUAAUUAGCAUAGACAAAAGAUCCUCGGCUUUAUAGGCUACACAUAGACACUUGAGCCCCAAGUCACCCACGUUUAUGUUUUCCGUAAUGACCUAAGCUGUAAUAUUUCAAUUCAAUUUCAAUUCAAUUUUAUUUAUAUAGCGUCAAUUACAGUCAACUCGUCUCAAGACGCUUUACAGAACCCAAAUGCCUGACCCCCAGAGCAGCCCAAAGGAGACAGUGGCAGGAAAACACCCUUUUAACAGGGAAGAAACCUUGAGCAGAACCCGGCUCUAUAUAGGGGGGACCCAUCUGCCUGCUGGCCGGGCGGGUUGAGAGGGACAGAGGAGGGCAAGGGGGAGGGAUGGGAGAAGAGGG
Long non-coding RNA from Acanthochromis polyacanthus (spiny chromis), 3468 nucleotides. RefSeq lists it as uncharacterized. NCBI's taxonomy places the organism in Eukaryota, Metazoa, Chordata, Actinopteri, Pomacentridae. The transcript is spliced from 4 exons. The record is from RefSeq and is a predicted model, not a curated record.